UGGCGGCCCCGCAGCGGGUCCCGGUCCGACCUCGCGCUGCUUCGGGACCCCGGAGAUCGGCCGGGCGGUGGGAGCAUGGCGAGGCUCGGGCUCGGAGCUGAACGCAAUAGCCAUCAUCGCCAUUAAUAAAAAAGAUUCCGUUCUCUGAGUGACCGAACACGCAUAGGCACACCUAUGUGCCCGGAUCCCGCUUUAUCCCAGCGGAGAAGAAUUAAUACUAGGAGAGUUGGAGCUGCAGCGACAGGAUGCCUUUAUUUCUGGUUUAGCCAUCCAAGUCUUCUGCAUCAACUCCACCAUUCAAACCAACAACUGAAGCCACGCCAAAGGCUGAAGUGUCUUCUUGCGCCGUCCCUUUACGAGUUACUUUUCUCGACGCGACUCAGUUUCAAAGAGAAAAAUAAGAGAAUAAUUUUUCCUCGUCUUUCAGCCUCGAAAAUUUUAAAUUAAUUCCUACCAAUAAAUACACACCCGCGGCUGUGCGCCGAUGUAGGUGCCACUGUUGUCCCUCCGGACCCCGACACCACACCGAAACGUUCAUGUGCCUUUAUUCCCACCCCCGAUUUGGGUGAUGGAAGAGCUUUUAUCCUACCGAGACCCGUGGGGGGGUGUCGGGUCGGAGGGACCCGGACAGCGCUGCGGGGGCCUCGCGGUGCCCGGGAGGACAGUGGAGUCGGGGGGCAGCGCCGGCCCCACAGAACAACCGGGAUCACUGCCGGCCCCCUCGCUGUGUACGGUUCUCAGCGCCCACGCUCUGCGUGGGUGUGCAGCGAUCCCCAC
RNAcentral lists this long non-coding RNA (777 nucleotides) under Gallus gallus (chicken). RNAcentral describes it as "lncRNA (ENSGALG00010007197.1)". Lineage: Eukaryota; Metazoa; Chordata; Aves; Galliformes; Phasianidae. The record is from RNAcentral.